GAUGAACGCUGGCGGCGUGCCUAAUACAUGCAAGUCGAGCGAACGGACGAGAAGCUUGCUUCUCUUAUGUUAGCGGCGGACGGGUGAGUAACACGUGGAUAACCUACCUAUAAGACUGGGAUAACUUCGGGAAACCGGAGCUAAUACCGGAUAAUAUUUUGAACCGCAUGGUUCAAAAGUGAAAGACGGUCUUGCUGUCACUUAUAGAUGUAUCCGCGCUGCAUUAGCUAGUUGGUAAGGUAACGGCUUACCAAGGCAACGAUGCAUAGCCGACCUGAGAGGGUGAUCGGCCACACUGGAACUGAGACACGGUCCAGACUCCUACGGGAGGCAGCAGUAGGGAAUCUUCCGCAAUGGGCGAAAGCCUGACGGAGCAACGCCGCGUGAGUGAUGAAGGUCUUCGGAUCGUAAAACUCUGUUAGUAGGGAAGAACAUAUGUGUAAGUAACUGUGCACAUCUUGACGGUACCUAAUCAGAAAGCCACGGCUAACUACGUG
Molecule: ribosomal RNA, 497 nt
Filed under: uncultured bacterium
Lineage: Bacteria
Description: partial 16S ribosomal RNA
Rfam family: Bacterial small subunit ribosomal RNA
Source: RNAcentral